This 864-nucleotide ribosomal RNA is filed under the name uncultured Acidobacteriota bacterium. RNAcentral describes it as "bacterial SSU rRNA". It matches the Rfam family "Bacterial small subunit ribosomal RNA", at positions 56 to 896 of the family's 1533-position model. Lineage: Bacteria; Pseudomonadati; Acidobacteriota. The record is from RNAcentral.
UGCAAGUCGAACGCGAAAGCCCCCUUCGGGGGGCAAGUAGAGUGGCGCACGGGUGAGUAACACGUAGGUAAUCUACCUUUGGAUUGGGAAUAACCACCGGAAACGGUGGCUAAUACCGAAUAAUGCAGCGGCACCUAAUGGUGACAGUUGUUAAAGCGGGGGAUCGCAAGACCUCGCGUCUGAAGAGGAGCCUGCGGCGGAUUAGCUAGUUGGUAAGGUAACGGCUUACCAAGGCGAUGAUCCGUAGCCGGCCUGAGAGGGCGGUCGGCCACACUGACACUGACAUACGGGUCAGACUCCUACGGGAGGCAGCAGUCGGGAAUUUUGGGCAAUGGGCGAAAGCCUGACCCAGCAACGCCGCGUGAAGGAUGAAAUCCUUCGGGAUGUAAACUUCGCAAGAACGGGAAGAAUAAGUAAGGGUUAAUAUCCCUUACGAUGACGGUACCGUUUGUAAGCUCCGGCUAACUCCGUGCCAGCAGCCGCGGUAAUACGGGGGGAGCAAGCGUUGUUCGGAUUUACUGGGCGUAAAGGGCGCGUAGGCGGCCACCGCAAGUCGACUGUGAAAUCUCCGGGCUUAACCCGGAAAGGUCAGCCGAUACUGCGGGGCUAGAGUGCAGAAGGGGCAACUGGAAUUCUCGGUGUAGCGGUGAAAUGCGUAGAUAUCGAGAGGAACACCUGCGGCGAAGGCGGGUUGCUGGGCUGACACUGACGCUGAGGCGCGAAAGCUAGGGGAGCGAACGGGAUUAGAUACCCCGGUAGUCCUAGCCUUAAACGAUGAAUGCUUGGUGUCUGGGGUUUUAUAGUCCCCGGGUGCCGUCGCUAACGCUUUAAGCAUUCCGCCUGGGGAGUACGGUCGCAAGACUG